AGCAAUUUGGGGCUAUUGCCUUCACCUGAGCACAGGGGCUCUGCAAUGCUGAAAACAACAGUGAACAGGUGAAAACAGCCUGACCUGGAGCUGGCAUCCUACCAAUUGCUGAGCAGCAGAAAGUCAAAAGGGGCUUCCUUUUUGGCUGGUGAUGGGAAUGGCUGCAACUCCCACAUCAGAGAGCUGCUGGCAAGGCUGGAAGAGGACUGAGCAGCUGAGAGAGCCCAGAAUUCAUCCUGGGGGUUGGGAACUCCUGCAGCAGCAGCAGGCUGCCUGCUCUCCUCUGUUCAGAGCAUCUCAAAGGACAGCUGGCUUCUGAGAGGAGGAGGACUGACGAGCCCCUGAACCCCACAGCACACCUGGCACACCACCCAGGACCGGCAGAGACCUUGCAAAAAACAAGGUACAGGUCACACUGUCGCUUCUCCCACCGAGAGUUAAGCCGCUUCCUCUGAGAACAACCUGAAACUCCUCUGGAGGGGAAAGCAAACACACAAGAUCACCAAACUGCAGUGCACUGCAGAAAGCUGCACUUAGACCAGGGCAACUUCGCUUAGUCUGCAAUAAACAAAGCACAACAUAAUUAAUGCUUCCAACUUAGUGAGAUCUCCUUUUUCCUGAACCUUUGUACUGAAUUCUCCUUAUAAAUUGGCAGAGGUACGAUUUGUUCCCAAAUCUCUAUUGAGACAGCCCUCUGAAACCGGAAGUAGAUUCAGGCUAUCAGCGUGAUCUGGGGCUCAGCUGCACAGUAAGACACAGUUUCUUGGUGAAUGAGAAAUGAGAAAUAGGGGACUCAGAACAAGAAGAAGACUCCCCAAACCAGAUCAGGCUCACUUGAGGUACCAGAUGAAGAAAACAUUUCUCCUUAGUACUAUUUCUCUGCAAGUUGCCCAAGGGCCAUGCUCUCUGUGAGCUGUGCAGAGGAGGAGUGAAGAGGUUUUUUACCAGCGCUGCUGACUUCAUCCAGAGCAUCCACGUUUUCACAAAAAUAUCCAAGUAAUGUUUAGCAACUACGUUAUUUUGAUGGAUCUCCAACUAUGUGUGGAUUAUGAAGCUUAGAAAGAAGACAAGGCCUUAAAAUUCUGUGCAGCUCUUCUAUUUCAUUAAUAUAUUUCUGUUGCUGCCCAAAAAUGCAGUCACGUGCUUUGUUCUUACACUCCACAGAUUUUGGGGCAGAUUUGACACAAGUGCAGAGCAGACUCAUGGGAGAGGGGCAGAUAAAUGCUCUCCAACCUCCACCUGCAUUACACAAGGUAUGGAAGGAGGCCCUGGUGGACAGCUCUUCUGAGGAGAACAAGAAGGCAACACAGAAAUCUCAUGUUUCUUUAACUUGAGGACUUAAGUUAGAAAUGCUUUAUUCCUUUGCAUAAAAUAGGGGGAAAUCACAGUCCUAUAAUAAUGGAACAGAAUAUUAAAAUUAUAAAAUCUUACCUCCUACACAGACACUGGAUGGCUCCAAAUAUAAAAUCUCAGUGCAGGAUUGUUUCAAAACCUAUUGCAAAGGAGGAAAUAGUCACAAAUAGGUUUCAUAGCACUACUUCAAUGAGCAAUCUUAGUUUAAAACAAAUGCUUUUCCAUAGAACACACAUAGAGCUACAGGUUUGGUUUGCUAAGUCUGACUUUGCAGGACACUCCCUGGAGCAUGAGCAGCUCUUGCACACCUGCACAGUCAAGUCUAGCAGUGCCUAAGGCUUGGAUUAGUUUGUUAAACCCUGGAGUACCUUUGAAAUAUAACGAUGUCCAGAUCCCUAUCCUGAUUUUCCAUGCACCUCAAUCCUAAUGUUUAAGCCAAAAAUGAAUCACAAGGAGCCUGAUCCAAAACCUAAUCCAGUGAAAAGCGGUGUUCCAACAAUGAAGCCUGGGCCAGCCAAGUGCACGUUAUUGCUGGUGCUGGCACCUUGCCCUGCGUGGUGAGGCAGAGUGACAGCGGUGUUCCUGACUGCACUGCCUGCCCUUGGACAGGAAUCUCACUUCAGCUCUCCCUGCUGUAUGUGGUGUUUUUAGCAGUCAUUCCUAAACAUUCUGUGGCAUCAGUUCAGCUCCCUGCAAUCACGUGCACAGCAGAGAGUCCUGUUACUGUCCCCUCUCUAGCUCCACUUGCCAGGUGUGUGCCUGCUGCUGAGCUGCCCUGACUUCCUAGGCAUGUCCCUCUGUCUUACUCUCAACUCCUGCCUUCCUCUCAGUAGGACUCCUUACACUCUGUGCUGUUUCCCAGUGGUUUCUGUUGCUACAUACCCAGGCCCAGCAGAAACAAUCAUGCGGGCACUGUUCUGACAAGAAGCACGCCAAGCUCCAAGAAAGAGAGAAGCCUCGCUGAACACUUCCCAUGUUGCCACUCUCCCCACAAACUGUUAUGCACAAAUUCAUCUUUUAGUGCUUUAAAACCCAUGUUAAAAAUUAAGUGGUAUUUUAAAAAAUGGAGACGUGCAUUUGAAUGAGAUGCAGCAACAGAGAUCUUAGGAAAGAAUGUAGCCCAGAGUUCACUGCAAGCCAAGCAGUUCACAUUAGCUGAGGAUCUUGCUUCCAAAAAAGGGCUUUAGCCUCUUGAUUCCUAUUGCAGUGUGGAGAGAAGUUAUCCGUGGCUUGGCUGGGGGCUGGGGAAUAUUUUGUAUAGCGUUUUAUUCCUUUGCUGUAAAAGCGUGUUCAGUUGUUUUCACUGAAGAGUCAGAUAAAUAGCUCAAGUGAAGCUGAGACUAGAUGCCAGUUUUAUGUGAAGCACAGAUUGAGCAGUUGGCACAGAAUUUGGUAAUUUUGUUUUUAGAGGGAGAACUUUCCAACCCCUGUCCUGGCCCCAUUUGCCCAGUGUUUGAGGAAAGGUCACUGGUAUGACCUGGAGGUUGGGGAGAGGGAAAGACAGUGUGGGACUUCCCUUGCAAAUCAGUAGUUCUCUGGUUUCAUUACAUCCCAGGGUGAAUUUUCUAACACUGUGCUUCCAAAUGCAAUAUAAAUCAGGAAAAAACCUACCUGGAUAUAUUUAACUACCUUUGGAUUUAGGAACAAACUGGGAGGGGCAGACAUGACAACUCCAAUUGAGCUGAAAUACGGUGUAGCUAAAAUGAUGACAAAUCACGAAAAAACCAAAUUUCAAUGCAAGGGUCAGGAUACACUGACUUCCUGCAUGGAAUCCAUUUUCAUGCAUGCUCUUGGCUAAAGCAGAAAAUACCAGAUGUUAAUACUGCUCUAGAAAUAACUGCUUCAACAAUAAUUUUUCGUAAUUAUUCACUGCUGUCCUUUGCUUAGCUUAAGCAAGCUGUACUGUUUAGAGACCAUCUCUUUGCAAGGUUGGCGGCCUAAUUCUACCAUUCCCCCCCAGACAAAUCUUCUAUUGGGGUGAAAAAACCUCUGAGACUACUCAAAUUUGGCUUUGUAAGUUUGUCAGGUUGUUUGCUAUCCUUCAAAAAGCCUCCUGAUAGUCCACACUUGGGGGGGGGGGAGGGGGAAGAUAAUGGUAAUGUGCCUUGUCCCUAAAAGCCCCUCCCCUCAAGGACUGAGUGGAUUCAGGUGGAGCCCAUCAGAAGCUCAUAGAUCCGGCUCUUUGCUUAACCUCUGCUGGCUCUCUGGGUUCUCCUUAACACUCCCCCUAAGCAACACUGAAACACUGCUCAGAACUGAGCUUCCCCAGAGUUAAACAGAAGCCAUCACACUCUCUGCAGGUCCAAGCCCACCAGCUGUCCUGAGCACCAGCCCUGGGUAGGGUUUGGCUGACAAGGAUUCUGCCACCACCAUGGGAAACUGAGGAUAUUUUCAAUACAGCAAUUGCCACAUGUGCUUUCAUGUGUGGGGGAAAUGAACGUAUUUGCACAUCUUAGGAGAAGGCCUGGCUUUACCAGAGAGAACCAAUUUCCAACAACCCCAAGUGCAAAAUAGAGUAGAAACCUGUCAGCCUUUGUCCUGCUGUCCUGCAGCUUCAGCAGUGGAGAGCUGUGCUAAGACUGGAGGGUGUUCAGUGCCUCCUGAGGCGACCUGUGCAGUGUGGGAAUGGUGCCAGCUGCAAGCCCAGUCUAUCAGGUGAAGUGGCCACAGCUGUGACUCGUUAACAAAGGUGUGGCUGCUGGGACAGGAGAAGGCAUCGCAGUUCUGUUCUUGGACUGUACAAAAAUGAGACAUCCUCUUGUCCAAAAGCAACACAACAGACUGCUGAGGAAAUGAUUCUGUAGCUUCUCCAUGUUGAGGACUUGUUACAUUGCUGCCACACUACUGCAGCAGCAGCAACCAAGGAUCUUAUGUUUUAAACCCUGGUGUUUUUUAGGGCCAGUUCUGAGAGCAGCCAGAACCAGUGGCACAAAUGCAGCUUGUGCUCCACACUGACUCUGAUGGAUGCAGGCAGGGCAGCCUCCCACCACUCCUUCAGUAAAAUCCCUUCUUACAGCUCCUGAGUGAACCCUGUGCAGUUCCUAUGGCAUCUCUCAGUAAAGCAAGUUGAUCAUUUCAGAACACUUCUGAGAGUACAAGCUACCAGAAGAGAGGCACCCAAGAUACCUGGGGACACUCUCAAGCCAACUCACCCUCGAUGCAAGCUUGCUGGUACGCCUUGGGCCCUACCUGCCCAAACAAGCUUUUCUUUGCUGACAGGGUCGCCUGUCAAUCAGCUGUUGGGCUGCCCAGCUCCUCUGGGAACACCAUGGCCAUCCCAACUGUGGCUGUGGAGCUUUAAACCACCUGUCUCCAGGCUAUUUCAGUGGCUUACAAGUAAGCAUACAUGUCAAUCUUCCUAAAACAGUUGUAUGAAGUUCAUUUAUCAGGUCCACUUACCAUUACCAAAAGCUUUACCAGCUUUUCCAUGUGACCCCAUUUUCACCUAGUGCAUUUUUCCCAGACUUUCCUGAUUGUUAAGGAAUACUUAAAAUCCACAUCUGUCCUCAUGGCUUUCUACGUGCUUCUCACUAGAAGGUUUCUGAAGGCUCACAGAAACUUCAGUGCACUGUUUCUGAAGCAGUAUUUCUGCUAUUUCUGUCAUUACUAACACAUUUCCUCCCACCACAGCUGUUGGAGAAACUCUGCCUGUUUCUGACCUGCAGGUGUCUGCACUGACCGCACACCGGGGUGUUGUCAGCCCCCAGCUGCAGCAACACCCCACACCCAAAUUCUGACAUCAGCACUGAAAGGGCAGAUGUCCCUGCAGCACACUGCACAAAGGCAGCCAACUAACAGGCUGACACCAAGCUCUCCACUGCUCAUGGUCUUUGUAAACUCCACCUCUGUUUAUCAAUUCUGCCUUGCCAGAGAUCUUUCCCCUACUUUAUGCAACAUUUCUUCUUGUGGAAAAUGUGCUUUCUGGACCUUCCAAGACCUCUUUAGCCUGUCACAGACCAGGCGUGGCUCUGCCUGGACUCUCUUUUCACCCUCACUGCUGCCUCUUACAAGUUCUCAGUGUUUAACAGCAAAGCAGGAUGGCUCCUGCAGCUUUUUGAGUAUUUAGCCUGCCAUUCCCUCAGCACAUGCUGUGGAACAGAGCUGUACCAGGCGGCAAAGUGUUACACAAACAACUUUCCCUUCCAGAACACUAAUGAAGGUUGUGUUCCAUGGAAUAGUGAGAACAAUGCACUAGUAACAAGCCAUGAGCAGCCCAACCAUACAGACACAAUUAACAAAAUACGCUAAGCGUCAAUUUGUCUUGCAACCUUGCUCAGUUUCAUUUAGCCCUGUAUGCAGUUCAAAAGUUUUUGGCAGCAGGCAGCACCAUAAAUCAUAACUUGCAUGGCAUCUGUUCCUGCCCAGAACUGUAAACUGCAUUCAGGGUUUGGGUAGUCAUCAUCACAGCUGGAUUCUUCACUGAACCACUGUAAUGGUUCGAAGUCUUGAAAGUGCUCUAUGGCUGUGUAAAGCAUUUGCUUCCUGGGACAGAGGUCAGAAUAACCAGGAACUGCUGGAAGGAGUCAGCUGCUGACACAUUCUGGUCAGAUCUGGCAUGCUAACAACUCUGAAUAAAUAAGGAUUUCUAGGGUUACCAGUGGCCUUUCCUCCCUGUGGAUCCAUUCAAACUUGCACCUCUGUUUACAUCAGUGCUCACCGUAAGCUGACCACAAAUCAGGCUGCUGUGAUUUUUGGGGAAAGGCAGCCUGAGUCUCCUGAACCAAGCCAAUGUCCCGUAACAGAGCAAAUGCAUCCAACUUGCUAUUUUCAGAACCUGUUUUGAAAGAAGAGAAAAUGUUGACCUUUACAAGCUCAUCUUUGUUCUACUGCUGUAUGGCAAGGCUUGUGCAAAAUCCGAGAGCACAACAGGAUGGCUUUCACACUUUGUGUGUGCACAGCUAACACCCCUGCAGCUUUAUCCCCUGGUGGGCACAUGAAGGCAUCCUGGAGUGCAGUCCAUGGACACACUGCCAGCCAGAGAUGGCAGCACAGCCCUGAAAGCACCCUUGCACAGCAGCCUCAGCUACUAUUGCCUGCAGCUCUUUCCUGUGGAGAUUCCUUUUCUUUCCUCUCUCCCUCCCAAACGUGGAGUCUGUAAUUUUCUCUAGGGAUGCUACAAGCAGAACAGCUGGUGAACAAAAUUGUAAACUCAAGGAAAACAGAGCUAGAAACUAAGCACUGUUGAUGGUAUGACAGGCCAUGAGGAUGUGCUUUCCUCUUGUACUCUGCCAAGCUCCUCCCUCAGGUAACCACAAAACCAGCCUCAUCAAGAGCGGCAUCUCUCAUCAGGAUGCAUAUUUCAAGACAGUGGUAAGCAUAUAUCUCAUGUACUUGUCACUGCAACACAUGGAUUGUC
Zonotrichia leucophrys gambelii is the source of this 6709-nucleotide long non-coding RNA. RefSeq lists it as uncharacterized. The transcript has 4 exons. NCBI's taxonomy places the organism in Eukaryota, Metazoa, Chordata, Aves, Passeriformes, Passerellidae. The record is from RefSeq and is a predicted model, not a curated record.